RNAcentral lists this unclassified non-coding RNA (340 nucleotides) under soil metagenome. Its description in RNAcentral is "partial contains 5.8S ribosomal RNA, internal transcribed spacer 2, and large subunit ribosomal RNA". The stretch from base 1 to 120 matches the Rfam family "5.8S ribosomal RNA", at positions 35 to 154 of the family's 154-position model. The record is from RNAcentral.
GAUGAAGAACGCAGCGAAAUGCGAUAAUUAAUGUGAAUUGCAGAAUUCAGUGAAUCAUCGAGUCUUUGAACGCACAUUGCGCCCCCUGGUAUUCCGGGGGGCAUGCCUGUCCGAGCGUCAUUGCUGCCCUCAAGCCCGGCUUGUGUGUUGGGCCCUGCUCCCCCGGGGGCAGACCCGAAAGGCAGUGGCGGCACCGCGUCCGAUCCUCGAGCGUAUGGGGCUUUGUCACCCGCUCUGUAGGCCCGGCCGGCGCUUGCCGACCCCCAUCAAUCUUUUUUCAGGUUGACCUCGGAUCAGGUAGGGAUACCCGCUGAACUUAAGCAUAUCAAUAAGCGGAGGA